This 460-nucleotide long non-coding RNA is filed under the name Homo sapiens (human). RNAcentral's name for it is "HSALNT0384968". Lineage: Eukaryota; Metazoa; Chordata; Mammalia; Primates; Hominidae. The record is from RNAcentral.
GUUCCAUCUCAGCCGCCCUCUGCCUCUUGGGUUUGCGUGGUUUUUCUGCCUCAGCCUCCUGAGUAGCUAAGGGAGGUGUCUUGAGAUUAUCAUCCGCUGAGGGUGGAAGCGGCCCCCGCAGACGCUCCCCGCAGACGCUCGGCAGGUGUCUUGAUAUUAUCAUCUGCUGAGGGUGGAGCUGAGGGUGGAAAGGGAGUGAGCUGACGCUCGGAAGGUGUCUUGAGAUUAUCAUCCGCUCAGGGUGGAAGCGGCCCCCGCAGACGCUCGGCAGGUGUCUUGAUAUUAUCAUCUGCUGAGGGUGGAAGGGCAGUGAGCUGACGCUCGGAAGGUGUCUUGAGAUUAUCAUCCGCUGAGGGUGGAAGGGGAGUGAGCAGACACUCGGGAGGUGUCUUGAGGCUCAGGGAGUUAUCAGUUAUAGAAUGUUGUUGAGUUGGAGGAGGUGGCUGGUGGCCCAUCCUGU